Molecule: ribosomal RNA, 298 nt
Filed under: Bacillus cereus
Lineage: Bacteria; Bacillati; Bacillota; Bacilli; Caryophanales; Bacillaceae
Description: partial 23S ribosomal RNA
Rfam family: Bacterial large subunit ribosomal RNA
Source: RNAcentral
CGGUCCCUAUCCGUCGUGGGCGUAGGAAAUUUGAGAGGAGCUGUCCUUAGUACGAGAGGACCGGGAUGGACGCACCGCUGGUGUACCAGUUGUUCUGCCAAGGGCAUAGCUGGGUAGCUAUGUGCGGAAGGGAUAAGUGCUGAAAGCAUCUAAGCAUGAAGCCCCCCUCAAGAUGAGAUUUCCCAUAGCGUAAGCUAGUAAGAUCCCUGAAAGAUGAUCAGGUUGAUAGGUUCGAGGUGGAAGCAUGGUGACAUGUGGAGCUGACGAAUACUAAUAGAUCGAGGACUUAACCAUAUAA